AGAUGGAUUGGUGCCUUCGGGAACUCUGACACAGGUGCUGCAUGGCUGUCGUCAGCUCGUGUCGUGAGAUGUUGGGUUAAGUCCGUAACGAGCGCAACCCUUGUCCUUAGUUACCAGCACGUUAUGGUGGGCACUCUAAGGAGACUGCCGGUGCAAACCGGAGGAAGUGGGGGUGACGUCAAGUCAUCAUGGCCCUUACGGCCUGGGCUACACACGUGCUACAAUGGUCGGUACAAAGGGUUGCCAAGCCGCGAGGUGGAGCUAAUCCCAUAAAACCGAUCGUAGUCCGGAUCGCAGUCUGCAACUCGACUGCGUGAAGUCGGAAUCGCUAGUAAUCGUGAAUCAGAAUGUCACGGUGAAUACGUUCCCGGGCCUU
RNAcentral lists this ribosomal RNA (376 nucleotides) under uncultured Pseudomonas sp. Its description in RNAcentral is "bacterial SSU rRNA". It matches the Rfam family "Bacterial small subunit ribosomal RNA", at positions 1004 to 1382 of the family's 1533-position model. Lineage: Bacteria; Pseudomonadati; Pseudomonadota; Gammaproteobacteria; Pseudomonadales; Pseudomonadaceae. The record is from RNAcentral.